AAUACUAAACCUAAAAUAACAAUCAAUGAUAAACAAGCUCUAUCGUUGUCUAGGGGAUAAUGAAUUAUCAUGAGAAAGUAUAAAGUUCAGUUCAAUUCAUGCAGGCUCAGGUAGUUGCUGGUCGAUGUGUUGUAGUUGUUGGAGAGAGAGAGAGAGCGAGAGAGAGAGAGAGGACGAUCAAACAGUGACAGCUAUUGUCUUCCAAACCUUCCUUUACUUUCUGGAUCCGUCGUUUCGUUGUGGCCAUUGAGAGCUAUCAAAAGUGAGAUACCUUCCUCCAGAUAAUGGCCUUCCAAAAAACACUUGUCGUCCUGGUGUUUCUCCUGCUGCUUGUUAACACUGAGUUUUCCAAAGCUCAAAUGACCGGACAUUUUGAACACAGAUUAAACAGUAAUGCAGAGGGAAUUUCUUCACAGGAAAAUAUGAGCGAAAGUCUGAGAAGCAGAUUCCGAC
Molecule: long non-coding RNA, 453 nt
Organism: Hypanus sabinus (Atlantic stingray)
Lineage: Eukaryota; Metazoa; Chordata; Chondrichthyes; Myliobatiformes; Dasyatidae
Exons: 3
Source: RefSeq, a predicted model, not a curated record